UAAAAGACUAUGAAUUGGUAAGUAGAAUGUUUAAACCAUUAUAGAGAGGGUUUCAUUGGUGGAAGAAAUCCAUGGAAUUUGCAUUUGAAGUGCACCAAGGAGUUUUUAACCGAAGAAUAAGUAGGCUUAAACGGUAUUUCCCGUUAUAGAAAUAGGGUAUGAAUGUGCCCGAAAGAGAUGGAUUUGUUCUAAACAGAGUGGAACCGUGAAAGUGAACCUUUUGCCUCUGAA
This 231-nucleotide non-coding RNA is filed under the name Sporanaerobacter sp. RNAcentral's name for it is "T-box sequence". It matches the Rfam family "T-box leader". From Rfam's summary of the family: Uncharged tRNA acts as the effector for transcription antitermination of genes in the T-box leader family. Lineage: Bacteria; Bacillati; Bacillota; Tissierellia; Tissierellales; Sporanaerobacteraceae. The record is from RNAcentral.